GAUGGAGGUCUCCUUCUAGAGUUUCCCUAUUGUUAGUCUCAGCCUGAGGGGUUGCAGAGGGCUCUGGAAGAAGAUCCACAGGAGGUGCUGGUUUAGGCGAUUUUGGAGUAUUAUCGACAGCCUUCAUCUGAUUUAAAGUGGCUGUUGAGGUUACAGGGGAUGACACAUGCACUGGUCCUCUCUUCUCUUCAUUGAAUGAGGCUGGGGGAUUUGGCAGCUCCAACUCCAUGAGGGCUGGGUUUGGGGUACCAAGGACAAGGUCAAUGGGAAGAUUGAUGGGACGUCCAAAGACCAUUUCACCAGGACUAAUGCCUGUAGAUUCAUGUACAGAAGAACGAUAGGCCAUCAUUAAGUAGGGUACAUGCAGCAUUGAAUUUGAUGCCGGCAAGGAAUGGUGACUUGGGACAUCUUGACUGUCAUGCGAGUCAACAUGAACUUCGGGUGAAGUUGGGUGUGGUUUAAAAGUAAUUUCAAAACUUUCAUCAGU
Saccostrea echinata is the source of this 487-nucleotide long non-coding RNA. RefSeq lists it as uncharacterized. The record is from RefSeq and is a predicted model, not a curated record. The transcript is spliced from 3 exons. NCBI's taxonomy places the organism in Eukaryota, Metazoa, Mollusca, Bivalvia, Ostreida, Ostreidae.